CUGGGGUGAAGUCGUAACAAGGUAGCCGUAGGUGAACCUGCAGAAGAUCA
This 50-nucleotide ribosomal RNA is filed under the name uncultured eukaryote. RNAcentral describes it as "partial small subunit ribosomal RNA". The record is from RNAcentral.